RNAcentral lists this unclassified non-coding RNA (236 nucleotides) under Mrakia frigida. RNAcentral describes it as "partial internal transcribed spacer region". The stretch from base 1 to 46 matches the Rfam family "Eukaryotic small subunit ribosomal RNA", at positions 1786 to 1831 of the family's 1831-position model. The record is from RNAcentral. Lineage: Eukaryota; Fungi; Basidiomycota; Tremellomycetes; Cystofilobasidiales; Mrakiaceae. RNAcentral also lists the same sequence under 3 other names.
AAGUCGUAACAAGGUUUCCGUAGGUGAACCUGCGGAAGGAUCACUAGUGAUUAAAUCGAGAGCGUCUUCAUUGACCUCUCACCCUUCACAUCCACAUACACCUGUGCACCGUUUGGCUCUUUUAAAAGACGUAAGUCUGCAAAGAGAGUCAUCAAUUUUAUACAUACCCCAGUCUUAUGAAUGUAACAGUUUUAAUAAACAAAAUAAAACUUUUAACAACGGAUCUCUUGGUUCUC